CUUUCAUGGCGUUUGCUCUGGGGGACCUUCCUCCCCAAGUCUUUCUUUCCUCUCAUCCCUAGGAAUCCAGUUGAGUUCCUUUUAACUCUAUGGAGAGCAGGAGCCCACAGAGAGAGGCUUUCUUCUGGGGAGGGUGGGACCUCCUUGGCAGGCAGAGGAGCAGCUUGUAGGGGUUAAAGGCUGUGUCAGAAGCAAGGGGAAGGGGGUUCAAUGGCAUGCCACUUGUUCCCUCCCCAAAGGGGCAAAGGAAGGAGGGGGGAGGAUGCUCCCUGCCUUGGGUAUCCUCCCCCUGCAGCCCUGGGACCCCCCUUCUCCCCCCGGGCGCCCCAAGGGGAAAGAGAGAGGAGACUCACUGGAUCCCAGGAGGGGCCACCGAGGCAGCCUUGGCAGAGGACGGAGGAGGAGGGGCUUCCGCUCUGGAGGACCUGAGACCCCCGCCCCCACUUCCUGGCCUCUCUAGGAUUCCAGCUCGGCUCCUGUUAACCCUUGGCAAGCCGAGCGCACAGAGGGCAGAGGAGGCUCUGAGCAGCUGCGCAUGCUCCCUGCCGGCGACCCGGACGCCUCAGAGCACGAAACGGGGAAAGGGAGAGGCGGAGGGAGGGCGGGGCAAGGACCAGUGACGAAACAGCCCUGGCCCCGCCCCUCCGCCGGGAAGGCGGCGGUGGCUGCUCUGAGGGAAACGGCUUUUCCCGCCUUCCCGCCCCUGACCUUCCCCUCAGUUUUAGGCGCCAAGGAGGCCGAUUCCUGGCAGACCAGGUGGCAGUUUCCCUGGGCUCCCUCGUUUAUCGGGGGAUUUCUUUUCAUUCUGCGUGAUUUCUGUUCAUAUCUCUUGCUUUUGGAGCUUCUAUCUGCUUCUUUAGAAAGGCAUUUUCCUUUAUUAAAAAAGUCCCUUUCACCAAGUUUUGCCUGCAUGCCAUUAAGUAUUUAAAUCCAUUUAUUCAAAUGGAUUUCGAAAUAGUCCUUUAUAGUGCCAUCCCUCCCCCCCACUCCUCCUCCGCUGCUACUGAGGAGAAAUGAAGAGGCUCAUCUGCCUCAGGCGUUGCACUUGUGUCUGUCUGUCUGUGUGUGAGAGAGAAAACGGGUGCAAGAAGGGCCCAAGGAUCCUGUAGUGGCCCCAGCAGAAGCCAUCCACCAUGGCCUUGAAGCCUUGCAGGUAGUCCUUGUCCCACUUUUGGAUGUGGGGCUCCUCCUCCGGGAACAUGGCCACAAUCUUCCCUCGGUCGUCAGCAAAAUAGAAGAGCUCCUGCCAGUCAAAGAAGUACCUGUACAGGUAGCGAACCCACUGCAUGCUGUUGGGAGAAGUGGCAACCCUGCUUCAUCUGGUAUAGGGUGUGUUGGGGGGGCAGGAGGGGCGUAAAGGGAGGUCAGGUGUGGGAGGGGAGCGGGAACAGGCAGAUACCCUUGCUCCCUCCUGCCAUCGUGGCAGCACCCCAUCUGCCCCCCACUCCAGCUAAGGAUCAAGUCACAUCAUGCAGGGUUGCCACCUGCCCUGUAUAAUACGUUGGAUGGAUCAGAGUCAUUUAUUCCUAGAAACAACAUUGUGUGAAGUUUCCAGAAGAUGGGUUAUUAUAAUGGGUUAUUAUAACAGGUACAAGGAAAAUAGAGAAAAAAGUGAAAUAUUUAGGAGUGUGAUGUUGUUGUUGUUUAGUCAUUUAGUUGUGUCCGACUCUUCGUGACCCCAUGGACCAGAGCACGCCAGGCACUCGUAUCUUCCACUGCCUCCCACAGUUUGGUCAAACUCAUGCUGGUAGCUCAGAAGAACAGUGUCUAAUCACCUCGUCCUCCAUCGUCCCCUUCUCCUUGUGCCCUCCAAUUUUCCCAACAUCAGGGUCUUUUCAGCAAAUAAUCCUAAUAACUAAAAUGAUAAUGAUGCGAAGAUUUGGAAAGAAAUAUAAAAAGAAAUAGAAAUAGUGAUAAGAAUGAAACUAUUGUGGAUGGUGAGAAUCUUGGCAAUAAAAAUGAAUGUAAUAAUAAAUAAUUUUGAGACCUGGACUUUUAUAUCUCACACUCAUUUGUCCCCCAUGUUGAUUUCCCUUACUUGUCUUUGCUUCUAUUGGGAAAAACAACCUUGGUGUUUUGUUUUCAGGCUCACCCAGAUUCAAUGAAGCACUGCCAUAUAUCCUUACAAUGACUGCAAAAUUCCCUCCCUUGUCUCCCCAUUGUUUGGGGGUGUGCAAGAUUUACAGCCUAUCAUGACCACCUAAUUAAAAUAGUAAAUUCUCCACCACUGUUGACAUUUCCCAUUCCCAUGAAUUCAUCGACCUUCUCUCCUACAGUGUAACCUUGGUUUCCAAACUCAUUCCAUUCCGUGAGUCUGUUAGAUUCCUGAAACAGUUCAGGAACCAAGGCGCGGCUUCUGAUUGGUUACAGAAGCUUCCUGCAGCCAAUCAGAAGAUGCGGAAGCCACGCCGCGCAUUCAUGGCUUCUGAUUGGAAGCUCCUGCAGCCAAGCAGAAGCCAUGGAAGCAGCACCAAGCAUUUUCUUCCAGAAACUGUUCAAAAACCGGAACAAUUACUUCCGGUUUUCAUUCAUUUGGGAGCUGAAGCGUUCGGCAUACAGGAGCUGAGGUUCCACCGUAUUUGUGAAUUCCCUUUUUGGGUCUUACCUCUUCAACCCUUGACAUACUAGUUUUAGCAAGAAAGCCACAUCCUGGCCACUUUCAAGACAUUAGCUCCCUAGUUCUGUUCUUCUUGCUAACAUCUUAACCACAAUUUGUUCUAAAGAUACAACUUCCCUGUAGGUAGCCUAGCCACAAGCUAUAUUAAAAAUAUGCUAACUGUUGCAACCUACGCCCUAGCUGUUGCAACCUUAUGACCUUUAUGAAAAAGCAAUAAAAGCAUCAUUUAUUCUGGAAAAGCAAUCUGAAAAGCUCCAAUUAUCAUUCCUUACAUGGGAUACCUACAAUGAUCUGCUAAGACAUUUGAGGGAGAAACAAAAAUGUAAAAAUUAAGAAAUUUUUGUAUUGGACUGGCCAAGCUAUCAUCAGAUUUGUUUAAUAAUAAUUUUUAUUAGUUAUCAGUUACACUGUCGCUUAAUCACCCUUUAAAUAGGAGAAGAUAAAUAAUUGUACUCUAUAGAACAAAAAGCCUGUCCUGUUUGUUUUUAGGUUUCGGUACCAACAAAUCCUGCCUAGUUCUUUUAGCCCUUUCAAAGGCUGUUUGAAUUAACUCCUGCGGAUAGCCUCUAUCUCUUAAUGAAGAGGAAUGACUAUUGGAAGAACGCUAUCUCGCAACUGCUCCUACGUUUAUGGUUUUGUGCUUCCAGUGAAUGACUAUCUGCAGAACGAUUUGUUUGCUCCAGCUGUGUAACGUAAUACUUACCGCAUACACAACCGAUAUAGUAAAGAGAGACAUUAGUUCAUUCUAUGUUUAUGAGUAUCUCCAGGCUUGGUUAUGCACAUUGCACUUUAGUUUGCUUUUUGUUUAGUAGGUUUAUGAGUUUAUAUACCUAUUCUAGUAAAAUUGUCCUUUAUAUUUGUAUUCAUAAGACAGCUUUGGUGUUGUUGGUUUGUUGUAUAAUUGAUGAUUUUCUUUACUUCGGCAUUCCAAAAUCUUAUAAAUUUCAAUUACAUUACAGUCAUAAUAAUAAUCCCUUAUACAACAACUGUAAUAUUAAUAACUUCUGUUUGUGUUGACACAUUAAAUGAUUUAUAAGACUACAAAUGAAGGAUUCAAACUACCUCCUUGUUCUGGCAAUUAUCCAGUGUGGGGUGCCACAGGGUUGUGUCUUGGGCCUGGUCUUAUUCAACAUCUUUAUCAACGACUUGGAUGAUGGACUCAAGGGCAUCCUGAUCAAAUUUGCAGAUGACACCAAACUGGGAGGGGUGGCUAACACCCCAGAGGACAGGAUCACACUUCAAAACGACCUUGAUAGAUUAGAGAACUGGGCCAAAACAAACAAGAUGAAUUUUAACAGGGAGAAAUGUAAAGUAUUGCACUUGGGCAAAAAAAUGAGA
RNAcentral lists this long non-coding RNA (3955 nucleotides) under Podarcis lilfordi (Lilford's wall lizard). The record is from RNAcentral. Lineage: Eukaryota; Metazoa; Chordata; Lepidosauria; Squamata; Lacertidae.